AGCAUUACCUUGGUUCUGUCCAGCUACGUGGCACUUGCCUAUAUUUAAGUGUCGGUGCAAGAAAGUUGGGACACCCUGUAUAUACUGGGUGUUCAAAAUUAUAGGCUUUACGAAAAUUUUUAAAAAUCGCUUGUAGCAGGUAGCAUAAUUCUUAUCACUUAGCUUGGUUAUUCGAAGAAACGGACAUUAGUAACACAAGAAAUUGAAACUAAUAUUCUAAUAAUUAACAAAAAAUGACUAAUGAACUUCUUAGUUAAUUAUUUUACGACACAUAUUGCAAUAUAUGAAUUGUAGCCGGUGAGUUUGCAAGACGCAUCCACCUAAAAUGAAUUUCCAGUAUAACACCAGUUUCGAGAUAUUAUUGCCCAAAGUGUGGGACGAAAUACAAGGGCGUUUUAGUUACUUUUGCGCUUCAAUGUAUAAAACAGCAUUUUGGUAACAAAGUAAGUGUAACAACAGUGCAUUUUUACGGCGAGUUUGAUGGCGCAUAUCUCCAAACUGGUGUCAUUCUGGAAAUUCAUUCCAAGUGGAUACGCCUGACAAGCUCACCGGCUCAAAUUCGUAAAUCGCAAUAUGUGUCGUAAAGUAAUAAAAUAAGAAGUUAAUUAGUGAUUUCUUCUUAAUUAGUUGAAUGUAUGUUUCGAUUGCUCGUGCUACUAAUGUCCGCCUCAUCGAUUAACCCAGCUCAAUGAUAAGAAUUAUGCUACCUGCCACAGGCGAUUUCUAAAAAUUCCGUAAGACUUAAAAAUGACCACCCUGUAUGUAUAUAUAUAUAUAUAUAUAUAUAUAUAUAUAUAUAUAGACACAAAAUUGGAGCACAAGACAAACGUCCCAACAAGCAGUGACCAAUGACCGAUGAUUGGGCACCUCCUGGAUUCCCAUCGACUUCUAUUGUAAGUGGCCAGUGCCCUGUCUGUGUCAGAAAACGGCAUUGCCUCCAUGUUAAAUAUGGGCAAGAUGGUGGGAAAAGUAGUAUGUAAGCAUAAUAAAUAAAUAUGUUUUUUCAAAGAGUGCGUUUUGUUUAGUUGUUAGCCCUUAGCGCACAAUAAAAUGAAACAAGUUUGGGUGAUCUCUGCGACGUGGUGUCCAUAUUUUACAUGAAAGCCUAGGUCUAUUCUGUAACACGUAGAGACGGGGUGCUGGCCAGUGUGCUGGGAAACUGCUUGGCCACCACGCACAAUCUACGCUGUUAUACUUUGCCGGUAGCAAAUCGUAGCGCAGAAGCACAGGUACAAAUGUUUAAUCAAUGGGACGGCAUGCUGUCUACCGUUCGUCAUGAUGUCAAACUAACAAGCACGAACAGCGACAAUUGUGUACGUUGCUGGUCCGUAGUUCAUUUCGCGCCGGUUGCUUCACGUAUUAAAAUAAAUAUUUCUUUUUAAUACAAACGAUUAAAACUGUGCGCGCACACAGGGCGCGACAUUUGCGACGUUUGAAUUUUGCACUAUUUCCCGCGCGCUCCGUACGUGACCGGCCGGCGCACUGCGUUACCGCGAUAAAGAAAAUAGUUCCUCAAGGAAGCUAAGCAGAAAAUUUUCACACUCUUGCAAACCACAGAAAUUGUUAAGAAAUACCAUUAUAUUACAAGAUUUGUUAAUAAAUAUGGCAAUUCAUAUCUAUGAAAGCGUGGAUUUGUAUGCGCGUUUUUGUGUGAUUGCGCGCUUGUGCUGUUGACUCUUUGGCGGAUUCCAGAACUUUGUGCGUGCGGCGUAUGUGUGCGGGUUGCGUGAUGAGUUUGCUGCGUUUUCUGUGCCCUUUGCCUCGCUGUGACAUCUUUGGUAUAUUACAACUUAUUGCUCGGUCUUAAUGGGCUACACGUUGCCUCGAAGAUCACCAUGAUCGCCUCCGACUCAGCCACAUCGAAGAAUCAAAAUGAGCCUGGAGACGCCACAGCCGGAAUGCGAAAGGUUGGAGAGGUGCUCAUUCAGAUGAUCCUGGCACAGCUUGCCAUGGUGGACCAGGCAAGUUUGCAAGGGCCUUGAUUCACCAUGUGUUCACUGAGGAGAACCUCAUGGGCCACUUACUUCUCGGAAACACCACCACCAAUAGGCAAAAAGAGGCUCUUGGCCUUAUCAGGGUCAACGCUGUUAUAGGCAAGUACCGUACAUCCUUUUACCCAUUGCAUUUUUGCCUUCACAUUUUGUACUUGGAAUUACCAGCUUGCUAUUAGCACAACAAAUGACUUUCAAGUAGCCUGUGUCUGCAACUACGUGCUACAAUAGCCUACUAUUUGGAAUGAAUGUUCAUUUGAUCUCAAGUCUCUAACGCCUCCAUACUAAAGUGCUAAAUUUUAAAAGCAGCCUUAACUGCCAGAAGUGAUUGGUGGCUUCAACUGACAAAGUUAGGUGUAUUUGCGCAUUAGUUGCACUACUUGACUGUCAUUGCAAUGAACAGUUGGAAUGAAGCAACUACCAAUCUGUAGUACCACUCUGUGAAGCUUGCUACCAAUCUGGUGCUAUAGCGGGUGUGCUUAAGUAGCCUGAAAGUGUUGUUAUAAUAUAGGAAUUGUGGAGAAGCUAUGCUCAAGUGCAGUUACUGCUCAACUCGAGGGACAGCACUUCCACCAAAUUUCAGCAAUCAAUAUGGCCCUCCAGAUUCUGUAACGCAAAACAUAGUGAUUUCACCUAUUUCAACAGACCACAUUGAAUUAAAGUUGCUCCUGUCUUGAAGGAGGUCCAUGUGGUGGCAGACAGUAGCCUUUAAGCAGAGGGAGCUUAAGUUACGGGGCAUAAUUGUUUGGUUGUUUCGAUCAAAGCACCAAUAGGAACAGUUGCCAAAUUCGUUGUCAACAUUGCUAUGUUUAGCAAUGUCCAUUCAUUCUAGGCACUCAACCAAUUAAGAUCCAAUUUAUCACAUUGUAUUCUAGGAUGUGGAAAAAACAAAGGUAUUUAUUUGACUUUUCCUCACGUUCCCAUAAAAUGAUCAGUACUCAAUAGGCCCUUGGCAGCUACUAUAUAAAGCUUCUUACAGAACAUGAGGCAUGUCCACAGCUCCCACUCUGAAAUUGUUGGAAAUGUCUCCUGCUUUCUUACUUCAAGGACGCACUUGCCUGUUUUCAGCGUUAUUAUAAACCAGUGCUCAAGUACUAUGGGUUUAGAUUUAUCAAAGAUUGAAUGAGCUUUGUAGGUGUUCAUGUUUAACCCUUUGAGGAUCACAUAUUUUCCGGCAAACGUCCCCCAAUUUAAGCGUUAUAUUUUUAUUCUGGAUUGUUCUUUAGUGACCUUUCCAGAAAAAAAAUGGGUAAAUAAUUUUUUAGGUCACAAAGUGACAAAGGUUUCUUAGUGUCCGCUGUUUUACACCAUGUUUAUUGUAGCAUGCAGGGCAAACUAGCAUAAUCACAUUUUUUAAAUGUAAUGACACUCACAAAACAUUAAACUAGGUGAAUACUCCCAAACUACUGCAGUGAUGGGCACCAUAGAAUAAAGAGAAAGAUCAGUUUUGGAAGAAGCCAAGGGGCAACAGCACAAUCAGGAUUUUUGUAGAAGUCGCAGAAGGUUACAGAAUCUGUAAUGUGAUGCUUGGGGACACUUCAUUCUUAAAAGGUAUGCUUAUUUAUAUGUUCUUUCGCCGCCUCAUAUUUAUGGUCGUGACCACACGAUUUGUUUCCACCACUCUACAUGCAUGGCAGUGACCCUCAAAGGAUUAGCAGAGCCAGUCCACUUGCAUAUUUCUCUUGUAAGACUGAGCAUUUCUUCGUAUUUCUUCUUCGCAUUUAUUUGUGUUAGUGUAACCAGGUCGGCGUGCAACUGCAGUAAAUCCUCGUUAUAAGCAGUAUUUUGUUUUCAGUAGAGAGGCAUAAGAAUGGUCAUCACGAUGCGAGAAGUGCACUCCAGUAGCAUAUGAGCUUGUAAAACAAAUUCAGAUAUACCACACUCAAUUCUGGCCGCAUAACCGUAUUUGGAGCAACUCCUGCAAGGAAAAGUUCAAUAAAGUGCUGCACAUUUUGAUUAUGAUUGUUGAGAGAACUAAUUUUAGUUGCCAGUAGUCUACCUUUAAGUUUUUUCACCAACAGUAUGAAGUCUUUUUUCCACCAUUUUGUCCUAAGCAAGCAACGUUCACAUUUUCACAUCAAGGAUAUUCAUGAAGUUAUUCUGCCACAGUGGGCUUUUCCUGUUUGCCUUCUGCAUAUUGUACUAAGUGGAGUCCUCCGGUGCCACUCCACUUUGAAAGCUGGUCAUUCUCUAGAAUUGAACUCGUGAAAACUUGGAAUAAACAAAACAAAUGAAACAGUUUCAUUAUAACAGGGUGUACUGUAUGUCGCACUUUUGCAUGUGGAACAUUGAUCUUUAACGUCAUGCUGUUUUUCCUUUUUUUACAGGCUUUCCCUGUCGCAAGUUUCCUGGGACAAACAUGACCUACAUUAAGAACACUCUGGCCUCACUUCUCGCAAGGGACCUGAAGUGUCCAGAAGAGCUCAAGUCUGUGGACAGUUCAAGUGUUGUGCACUUGCAGCCCUCAACAUUUUUUUUAUUAUUAUGAUGUUUCUAGUCACCUGAAAAGCCCAGGUUGGAUGGUUCAGACACAAGUACUGUGUUGUGAUUAAUAAUGAAUUGCACAAGUGUUGCGCUUUGUACUUUAGUACAUUUUUACGUAAAUCUUUAAUAUAUUUCUACAAAAGCUAGUGUUUCUUGACUAUUUUAUUUCAUAGGUAUCUCGGGUCAUUUCAUGCCAAGACUGUUCCAUGACGGCACACCAUUUCAAGUUUGUUUGAUGAAGUAAAAGUAGGCCCAGUGAGAAAUUUUGCAGAAAAUUAGGUUUCAUACGUACACCGGAAAGUGUAAUCUGUGCUAUUGUCAGAGUGGUUCUGUUUAAGGAAAACUACAUAUUAACAUUUGUUUGUAGUAAUGGUUUAUUUUGCUAUUUCAAAACAGUAAGAAUUAAGUGUUAAAGUUUGCGUAAAUUCAGAGUGCAACAACAGUUCUCGGGCAAGGCAGCGAUGUGCUUUCUUUCAUGUAUGCAUGAAAUCUGAUUUCUUGCAAAUUCUUUCAUUCUAACUUGUUUUGCGGCACUCAAAAAUUUAAAAAAAUUUCCUCAUGCCAGUUCCAUUUAAGUCUUCCAGCAGGUAACUAAUGGCCACUGUAUCAGAUAAAAAUCUUAAGUAGUCAAAGUGAAUAAAUCGCUUGGUAUGUAAUGACCUGUCCAGGAACCUAGUAAUCAUGGCAGAAAACGCAACUGGAUCGUGCAACAAGCAAUGCAGCACAAUAAACUGCUCCCAUGGCACAAGUUAUUGUAAUUACCAUGUCGUUUCAGAGGUAGAUAACGUUUAGUAAAAUGGGCACACCAUUUAACCAAUAAAUAAGAGUCUCAGUGGGCUCAUGCAGAUUGUGCCAUGAUUAUUAAGUUACUGGCUACCAAAUAGAGAAAUCAAGUACAUUUUAAAUGGUAUUUACUGUAAUGCUUGUAUAAUAUUUAUUUUCUAUUUAUUUCAAUUUUGAGAAAUGUUUUACUUUAGGGCCACGCAAACUUUACAUCUCUCAGUAUUCAAUUUCGUUAUUGUAUCAAGCUGCUGGCAGUUUGUAGAUUGCGUUAGGAAUUUUUUGAUCUCAAGGCACACAUGGCUGUACAGUUAACAAAUGUUUGGCUUCAAUAAACAAUUCAGCUAGAAAAAAAUGCUUUUUGUCCACAUCAAUAUUGAGCUGUUGAUUUUGUGAAGGAGUAUUGAUUUUGUGUGUUAAGCCAAUUCGAAAACUGGCUUAAUGGUUCUGCUAGCAGCUCUAUAAUAUGUUUUAUAACAGGCUAUAUCUAAAAGUGGUUUUGAUCCCUGGGUGACCCAGGUCUUCAAUACAGAAGUGCCUGAGUUUGCCCCUGUCCUCUAGUAUGCAAGGACCACAUCAAUAUGGAUGGCAUCAAUGGUAAUGCCAUGAGACUCAACGUAGCUCAGCGGUAUUUAAAGAAAAGUCUAGUGCAGUUUUCAACACUAUUCACCAAACAGCAUAUUUCAGUGGGCUCUCAAGUGAUUUCAAUAGUGACGUUCAGCACUGCUCCAAUAAUAUUUAAAUGGUGUUGCAUGAUUGACUAACAUUGCACGUUGGGCUUGUUGGUAUAAUAUAAUGGAGGCAAAAGGCAUAGUG
This is a long non-coding RNA of Dermacentor silvarum, 6071 nucleotides long. RefSeq lists it as uncharacterized. The record is from RefSeq and is a predicted model, not a curated record. The transcript is spliced from 3 exons. NCBI's taxonomy places the organism in Eukaryota, Metazoa, Arthropoda, Arachnida, Ixodida, Ixodidae.